AAAAUAUAUAUAUAUUGUAUGACAUGUUAUACAUACACAACAGCGUAUAUGUGUGUAAAUAUACACACAUCAACAUUAUUCCAUGAACGUACACAAUUAUAUUGUUCAAUUUUAUUUCGGGUUUCACUCACCGCUUCGAUCUCGUUAUUCCAUUUCAUGGUGUGUUGAAUUCGGGCUUUCUUUGAAGGGAAGUAAGGUGGAAGAAGAUCAUUUCUUGGCAUGCAAGGCUAAAGGGGCGACGAAGCGAACGAGAUUACGAUUAACCUUUAACAGGUACAAAUAGUCGGUUUGGUGACCCUUCAGCAUAGGACUUCUACUCAGCUGUCUUGGAGAGCUCCGUUGUUCCAGAGUCUAGACUUUUGGUUCGAAUCUUAUGAUGUAUAUGUAUAUGUUUAUCCAGGGGUACGGCGGGGCCCUGUCCCGUCAUAUUUCGCUAUCGAUACUCUUAGAGGUUUGUAGACAUAUGUGUGGGUUGUGUAUAAGUUCUGUCCAGUUGUGUCUAUACGAUGUGCUACGGAUCUGUUUGUCUGUAAUGGCAGCCUUGUCGGCUUGCAUAUGAUAUGAUGUUCGUAUGUAGUGGCAGCCUUGUCGGCUUGCGUAUCAUUUUAUGAUUUGAUUAGUUGUGACUCCUCAGGAGACGGUUUAUCUGGAUAUACAUAUGUGAUGACGUUAUAAACCU
Molecule: long non-coding RNA, 679 nt
Organism: Lycium barbarum (goji berry)
Lineage: Eukaryota; Viridiplantae; Streptophyta; Magnoliopsida; Solanales; Solanaceae
Exons: 3
Source: RefSeq, a predicted model, not a curated record